Cercophora samala is the source of this 101-nucleotide non-coding RNA. NCBI's taxonomy places the organism in Eukaryota, Fungi, Ascomycota, Sordariomycetes, Sordariales, Lasiosphaeriaceae. The record is from the annotation of a GenBank genome assembly.
GUCCGCGUGGUGUAGUGGUUGCAUUCUAGAGGGGGUAAUAAAGGCCUGACCUAGGUCAGCCUCCACCUCAUGGGGGCCAGGUUAGAAUCCUGGCACGGGCA